UAUUGUGUACCGCUCCGGUUGUUAGAGCGUCCGCCUCAGAUGCGGGAGGUCGUGGGUUCGAUCCCCAGUCGAGUAA
Potamilus streckersoni is the source of this 76-nucleotide non-coding RNA. NCBI's taxonomy places the organism in Eukaryota, Metazoa, Mollusca, Bivalvia, Unionida, Unionidae. The record is from the annotation of a GenBank genome assembly.